This is a long non-coding RNA of Syzygium oleosum, 1746 nucleotides long. RefSeq lists it as uncharacterized. NCBI's taxonomy places the organism in Eukaryota, Viridiplantae, Streptophyta, Magnoliopsida, Myrtales, Myrtaceae. The record is from RefSeq and is a predicted model, not a curated record. The transcript has 2 exons.
GCCCCUUUGAGUCAUUGGCUUUAUCUCCUUCUGCUUUUCCUAGAUGUGUUACGCUCCUUCUCCCCAAAUAAACCAUUUCAAUUGCCAAUCUAGCUCAAAUUGCGUUUGAUGGAGAGUUGGUGAAUAUUGAGAGGUAAAGUGCUCGAAAGUCUGAUUGAGAACACGACGUCGAACUGAGAAGUUGGUGUUUUACACACAAAUGAAGAGUGAAUGAAAUGGUAAUGAGAGUGAAAAUUUGGAUAUGACAUAGUUGUAAGUAACGAAUCCCAAGUUGAUAUUAGUUGAAUGAAGGGAUGUUUAUUUACAGGCGCGAUAGAUUCCUAUCAACUUCUAGACGAGAUUGGUGCCUUAGGAGAUUCCCAUAACCUUACUGGCAGUCAUCUGGACCAACCGCAAGUGUACCCUACUCCUGUAUUGCCAUCUUGUUGCUUUUUUUGGUACACCAGUUAAAGUGUCCAUGAAGAUAUAGAACUCAAAUCGGAGGGGAUGUCAUUUAUGAUGGAUAGACUAGCUAUGUUAGAUGCAGAAAUGCUUGCUACCCACAUGGAGUUGGUUGGUUUAACCCCUGCAGAAUACCAUCACAAUGUCAUCAGGCAUCUAUAUAGUUUUCCUUCGAUUUCUGUUGGUGACUCUCACGACGUAAUAUUAUUUCUGGUUUAAUAAGCCCUGCAGAAUACCAUUUCAAUGUCGUCGGACUUGAAUCUGAUUGAUGUGCUCAAUUGCAUUCUCAUGUAGGACAAAUAAUUGUCACCUUGUUGCAGAUGUUGUCAUCGAUGAUCUAAAAUGUUUUGAAUGUCAAUGACGAAUUAAAGUAGUGUUUACUGGUGUUGAGCUCAUUGUGAGGAUCUAUAGUCUAAGUGGAUGGUGUCAUAUAGAAGCAGUCAUCCAUGACAUGCUCAUUUUCAUCAAAUUAAUAGUUUCUUUCAAAGUUCCAUAUGUCCAGUUCAGUCAAAUUAGGAAGGUAAUAAUUUGGGUGACUCCUAAAUGAGAGAAUUUGUAUGUGCCUCAAUUAUGCUUGUGGGGGAAAAGUUCGUAGAUAACCGGUUAUGUCAUUAAGCUAUAGCUGUUUGGUCAUGGGUACAAUUGCUCAGAACUUGGUUGAUGCUGCUGCAAUAAAGUUUCUUUGCGAUUUCUACAAAUUUACUAAUCAUUGUCCACUUCAUGGAUUAAGUUUUGCUCUGAGGAGCUUAUUUUUACACGUGAAAGUUAUCUCACCAAUCUAGCUGUCGUUAUGGAACCAUGGAUAUGCAGUGUGCUGCUUUUUAUAUGCCAGUGCUUGCAGCAGUUAUACAUACUGUGGUACAUUUAUUUUUAACACGGUAUAAAUAUUAAGCAGAAUGGAAAACUGUUAAGAAGCUUGAAGUCCCAUGCAGCAGCUGUGGUGUGUCUCAAUUGGGAGGAGGAUGCCCAAGUGAAUAGUGACACUUCUGGCAACUCUUUGGCAUUUGAAGAUCACACUACUCGUUACUUCCCUCCAGCUCCAAGAGUUCCUCGCAUGCCUGGACUAGUACCCAGAGAAACUGAUUUAACUGACGAUGGUCAAGAUUCAUUUGUAGAGCUCUCAAAUUCUUCAAAGCAACGUUUCAAUAUCCUUUGCAGUUGAGAUAGAUGGGGUUUUGUGCUUCAAUAUAUUUGGUGUCUUUCCAAUCGGAAAUGUUGUAAGCCUCCUGUACGUUCAGAUCAAAUAUAUAGCAGUAUAGUCUAUCGGAUUCAGUCAAUGAGUACUUCUUUCCUUUCUUGCUUCCA